UACAGAGGUCUCAAGCGUUGUUCGGAUUCAUUGGGCGUAAAGGGUGCGUAGGCGGCGGGUCAAGUCGAGUGUGAAAGCCCCGGGCUCAACCUGGGAAUUGCGCUCGAGACUGGUCUGCUUGAGUUCGGGAGAGGAGCGUGGAAUUCCCAGUGUAGAGGUGAAAUUCGUAGAUAUUGGGAAGAACACCGGUGGCGAAGGCGGCGCUCUGGACCGAGACUGACGCUGAGGCGCGAAAGCGUGGGGAGCAAACAGG
RNAcentral lists this ribosomal RNA (253 nucleotides) under uncultured bacterium. Its description in RNAcentral is "partial 16S ribosomal RNA". It matches the Rfam family "Bacterial small subunit ribosomal RNA", at positions 524 to 776 of the family's 1533-position model. The record is from RNAcentral.